RNAcentral lists this long non-coding RNA (1263 nucleotides) under Anolis carolinensis (green anole). RNAcentral describes it as "lncRNA (ENSACAG00000037351.1)". Lineage: Eukaryota; Metazoa; Chordata; Lepidosauria; Squamata; Anolidae. The record is from RNAcentral.
AUGCCUAAUGGCCAAACGAUAAAGUGUCACCAGCCAGAGGCCUAUAAAUAUCUGGGCAUAUUACAGCUGGACAACAUCAAGCAUGAACAUGUGAAAACUGUGGUCAGCAAAGAAUACACACAAAGGGUCAGAAAAAUUCUCAAAAGCAAGCUCAAUGGAGGCAACACCAUCAAGGCCAUAAACACCUGGGCCAUACCUGUCAUAAGAUAUACUGCUGGCGUUAUAAAUUGGACACAGGAGGAACUGGACAAUUUGGACAGAAAAACAAGAAAACUCAUGACCAUUCAUCAUUCACUGCACCUUCGCAGUGAUGUUGACCGGCUAUAUCUGCCUAGAAGAUCAGGUGGCAGAGGACUCUUACAAGUCAAACAAGCAGUCAAAGAAGAAGAACAUGCCCUGGCAGAAUAUGUAAAGCAAAGUGAAGAACCUGCUUUGAUUGAAGUCAAAAAUCAGAAACUCCUCAAAGCACAACAGACAAAAAAUCAGUACAAGAAAACCGCACUACAAACUAGAGCUGACAGCUGGCACAACAAAACAUUGCAUGGAAAGUUCCUUGACAAAAUUGAGGGAAAAGCUGAUAAGGAGAAGACCUGGCUCUGGCUCACGAAUGGGACCCUGAAGAAGGAGACAGAAGGCCUGAUCCUUGCAGCCCAGGAGCAAGCCAUCAGAACAAAUGCAAUUAAGGCCAAGAUCGAAAAAUCAGCUGAUGACCCAAAAUGCAGACUGUGCAAGGAAACCGACGAAACCAUUGAUCAUAUCCUCAGUUGCUGUAAGAAAAUCGCACAGACAGACUACAAACAGAGGUACAACUAUGUGGCCCAAAUGAUUCAUUGGAACUUAUGCUUGAAGUACCACCUGCCAGCAGCAAAGAACUGGUGGGAUCACAAACCUGCAAAAGUAUUGGAAAAUGAGCACGCAAAGAUACUGUGGGACUUCCGAAUCCAGACUGACAAAGUUCUGGAACACAACACACCAGACAUCACAGUUGUGGAAAAGAAAAAGGUUUGGAUCAUUGAUGUUGCCAUCCCAGGUGACAGUCGCAUUGACGAAAAACAACAGGAAAAACUCAGCCGCUAUCAGGACCUCAAGAUUGAACUUCAAAGACUAUGGCAGAAACCAGUGCAGGUGGUCCCAGUGGUGAUGGGCACAUUGGAUGCCGUGCCAAAAGAUCUCAGCCGGCAUUUGGAAACAAUAGACAUUGACAAAAUUACGAUUUGCCAACUGCAAAAGGCCACCCUACUGGGAUCUGCACGCACCAUCUGA